AUGGACUACAUGAGGCGACGACAGCACAUCAACUGGUGCAUGCUCUGACCGUGUGCUGCAAAAAUAUCUGAAGUGGCCGCAAACACUACAACGAGAAGCACAACGCACGCCUACAGUGCAUAACAUCUCACCCAGGCUUUCAGUCCGUCUACUCUGGACAGAUGGGUAGCCUAUUGGAGACAGCUUACUACCAAUGCGUGCCCAGCAGGAUCCAUCUGAAAAUGAGAAGCUCAGGCAUACUGCAUAUCGGCAGUUGGUGAGAUGGUGCUUGGAGUUACAAGGCUGCCUUGUUGGGUUCCACUGCCAUCCUGUGCAGUCACAAAGAUCCAGCAGACCUUCCAAUCCACACAACAUACGUGUUUCCAGGAUGUGAUGUA
Molecule: long non-coding RNA, 377 nt
Organism: Engraulis encrasicolus (European anchovy)
Lineage: Eukaryota; Metazoa; Chordata; Actinopteri; Clupeiformes; Engraulidae
Exons: 3
Source: RefSeq, a predicted model, not a curated record